UCAUUUACACACCCAACCCAAACCCUAAACUCCUCUCCUCACUCUCUCCUCUCUACUGCCGUAAGGCGUCCACGACGGCGCCGCCCGCCGGAAUUCGCCACCGAUGGAGAAGCACCACCAACCAACCUUGAAUUAUCAUCUUAUACUCUCCCCAACCUCCUCUUUCCAUAUCUUCAAACCAAAUCCUCUCAUCAAACUCCACGAAUUUUAGAUCUAGGAAACCCUAGCCACCAUCUUUUUGUCCAAAUUCGUGAAGCUCCAGUCAUCUCCGCCCAAUGACAUAUAGAUCAAUAGAAAGAGCUCUACGAGAUGUAUAUUUUCAUGUCAAUUUCCAUCCCAAAACUCCAACAGAUGCCCGACGUUGCUGUCCGCCGUCGCCGCUGCCUGCUACGACCACCACUGCCUCAGACCUCCGCCACACCACUGCUCCUCUUUUCUUUAGCCUAGUUCGGACCCAAGAAUACUCGUUUUAUUUUAGUAUGACAUCGAUUUCAUUGAGCUUAGUGUCUACUAAAAUAGAAUGAGUGUUCUACGGUUGGACAACCAUUACUCUAGGUCCUCGGCAUCUGUCUUGUUGCUCGAUUUGACAUUGAAUCCCUCCUUAUGGUAAAACAUCAAUUUACUUUUCCUUUUUUUAUCUUUACUGAUUCUGUGUGCUUUUGUAAUUAGUAUUAGUUUUAAGGUUUAAUUUCUAUUCUUGUUAUUUUUAUUUGUGUGAAAAUGAGCUAGGGUAAUAGCGGUUUUCAAUUACAUGUUACUUUAUAAAUGUUAAUUUCAGUUCUUCGACCUACCUGGUCGAGUAUUUUGCUAUUGUCUGUUAGUUAUGAUUUUUGGUUCUUCGACCUAGUCGAUCGACUAUUUUUUGUGAAAUUGUUGAGUUUGAAUUUUCAGUUUUCCGACCUAGCCGGUCGACAGUUAAGUGUUUUAUACUAGUUUCAUGAAAAAAAAGAUUAGUUGAAUCAUUAACUUAGUUAGUCGUUUUGUUUAAUUGUUGAUAAUUUUUGUCUGAUAAUUUACUAAUGCACAUCCAAGUUGUAUUUUAUUCUGUGUUAAUUUGCAUAAAAUCACAUUACUUUAAUUCAGUUUGUUUGGAUGCUCAAUCUGGUUACAAUCAAAGUUUUAUUAUUGCUUUGUCUAUUUGUGAUUGGAUUAGAUUUUGUUAUUUAAGUUUUGUCGAUAAAAGCUGAAUCAAAAUAUGGUACAUAGUUGGUAGUUGUUACUAUUUGAAGCAUGCUAGAAAAAUGACUACUUUACUUUGUGUCUAAACUUGAUGAAAAAGAAAUGUCCUUUCUCCUAUUUGGAUAGUCUUUUUGACUGUAUUUAGUGAGAAAAAGUAAGUCCUUUGAACAGAUUUUUGGUAAACUGAAAUUUGUCCAAAAGUGCUUGCUUUUCCUACUUAAAGGGGUCUCCUCUCACUCUAUACAUAAUCUAUCACACAACUGCCAUAUUUUUUUUUACUCUCUAAAAAACACAACUUUGAAAGUAAAAAUCAACAGCUGAAACACCCUUUACUAAGAUGAAAUUGUUGUUCCAACACGAAUUGGUUGUUUGUUUUGUUGUUGUUCCACUGCUGUUUUCUGCUGCUUUUGUUCUUGAGCUUCCAUUCUUCAUUGUUAUAUUUAUUAUUCUGCAAUACAGGAAACUCUUGAACCUUUUGUACUGCAGAAUUUUCUAAGCAAUAGCUGAAGAUUUGAACCUGUUAGAUUGCUAGAAUAGAGUUGGAUUCAUUCUAUGAGUUUGCUUAAGCGCUUUAACGUUUUUAUGUAUGGCUCAAGCAUGUGAAUAUGUAAUUGAUAGCUAGAAGUACUAUUCUUCCCUAAAUGAAAUCGAAGCACUCUGUCUCGUCUAGUCAUAGAAAAGAUAAUGGACUAGCCAAUAUAUUUUAGGCAAAGUUUUAUAUUGUCUUUUUAAGCAUACACUAUUGUUAAGUAUUCUUAUAAUCAAAGUUCUAGUUAAUUUGGUUAGUUUAAGCAUGAUAUAAGAAGAGAUGUUUGAGGGUUGAUAUGUUUUGGCAUAGUUAAUGAAAUUCGACUUUCCGGUGUUGGAGUGAACUAAUUUGGUCUCCAAUUUUAAUUAACUUCUAUAGGUUAAUCAAGUAUACAAUCUUAGCGAGUAAAUAUGCAUUUUCUCUUUUAGCAGGUUAGUUGGGUAGUAAUUAUUUAUUAAGUAAAAUGAGAUCUAUCCAUGCAUUUAAUUUAUU
Molecule: long non-coding RNA, 2200 nt
Filed under: Nicotiana benthamiana
Lineage: Eukaryota; Viridiplantae; Streptophyta; Magnoliopsida; Solanales; Solanaceae
Description: long non-coding RNA (NBEN_LNC042419)
Source: RNAcentral